UACGUAGGGGGCAAGCGUUGUCCGGAGUUACUGGGCGUAAAGCGCACGCAGGCGGUCCGCUAAGUUUGAGGUGACAGUGCUCGGCUUAACUGAGCAAGUGCCUCGAAAACUGACGGACUUGAGGGCUUCAGAGGGACACGGAAUUCCGGGUGGAGUGGUGAAAUGCGUAGAGAUCCGGAGGAACACCGAAGGCGAAGGCAGUGUCCUGGGGAGUACCUGACGCUCAGGUGCGAAAGCCAGGGGAGCGAACGGG
Molecule: ribosomal RNA, 253 nt
Filed under: uncultured prokaryote
Description: partial 16S ribosomal RNA
Rfam family: Bacterial small subunit ribosomal RNA
Source: RNAcentral